RNAcentral lists this transfer RNA (41 nucleotides) under Scarelus cibodasensis. RNAcentral's name for it is "partial tRNA-Ser". Lineage: Eukaryota; Metazoa; Arthropoda; Insecta; Coleoptera; Lycidae. The record is from RNAcentral.
UGCUUAUUUGAAAGUUAGAAGCUUUCUACAGAAAUUUCUUU